RNAcentral lists this long non-coding RNA (2749 nucleotides) under Gallus gallus (chicken). Its description in RNAcentral is "lncRNA (ENSGALG00010019850.1)". Lineage: Eukaryota; Metazoa; Chordata; Aves; Galliformes; Phasianidae. The record is from RNAcentral.
AUCUCUACUUAAAGAUGUUCUCUUCUGGAAAGUUGGCAAGCACUGAUCCUCAGAAAGAGAUACUGAAAGGCCACACUGUCAAAUCUCCCAGAAACCUUCUCUUCUCCAGGCUGCACAGCCUCAGCUCCCUCAGCCUGUCCUUGAAGGAGAAGUGUUCCAUCCUUCCAUCCCUUGGAUCAUUUUUGCAUCCCUCCUCUGGAUGGACUCCAACAGAUCCACGUCUCUCCUACACUGAGGACUCCACAUCUGGAUGCAGUACUCCAGAAACCUGUCUUAUGAGAAAGAAAAAAACCACAACACUGCAGAGCAUCCAAAUCUCCUUUAAAGAUGCAGUGAUUUCCAUCGAAAGCUGUUAAGAAGAUUUGGAAAGAAAACGAUGGAACUUGCAUUUUAAUCUCACAAGCUGGCAAUAGGUUUUAAACAGCAUUGUAUGGUUGGACUGUAAGUGAUAAAAUACAGGUUGAAUUUCUUUGGAAGGCCAUUCAUGAAAAAACAACACUCUUCUAGUGUAGUCUACCAAAGAAAUCCCCUUGGAAUCCCUUGCUCUAAAUGUUCUUCCUCAUUUCUGGAUGGCUCUCAAAGUCUUUUACACCUGCAAAAAUACACUGUCGACAUUUUCUUACUUUGAAUACAGAAAAAUGUUCAGUGCAAGAGAAUGGAGAAUUAAGGCCUCCAUCUUACUGUAGUGAAAAGAAACCUAGCUUCACACUGAUCCAGAUUUUGACCUUGGAUAGGUAUCGUUAGAUCUUUUGGUUUAAUUAAAACUUAGCUCUAUGUUUCUCCACUUUGAAUGCUUUCACUGUAGUGUUCUUAAACUCUGAGUUUUAUGUAGUUGUGAGUAGGGAUUUUGAAGGCUAUUAACUCAUUGAAGUGCAAAAGUUCAUAACCUCUUACAGCAAUACACUUUUUUUAUGAUUGUCAGACAGUUAGAGCUGUACAUAGCAAGCAGACUUGAAUAUGACUUUGAAGAAUUUGAGGAGAAUGCUUCAUACUCAGGGAUAAUUCUGAAGUGCAGUUAUGCCUGCCUUGUGUUGCUAUUUUUCUUGCUUCUGACUUUCAUAGAUUCACCACUUCAAUUCCUCUUGAUUAAUAGGAAAGUCAGGAAAAAUAUUAUUUUAAUAUCAUUUGCAGAGUGUACCUGACCAGCACAGGUUGUUUGAAGGAAUAGCCAGGCACUAUGCAAGAGAGAGUAAAGAAGAUAUGCCACCAUGACAGAAUGUGCAGUUGCUCCUUAAGUAAUGCCUCCUAUUUAUUUCCAUGGAAACUUCUAAGAACAGGUACAAAGUGCAGGAUAAAACUACUUGAAUAGAGCAAAUUCUCAGCUACAAAACACCAUUUUUCAACACAGUAACCACCAUUAGGUGUGCAUUUUUGCCAGUGAUGAACAAGAAUCUGCAUGCCAUGCACCAGCAGAGGUGACCAUUGUUGCCACUCUGCUGAAAUGCACCACCUACUGCCUCACUGCACUUACAUUCACUGUUUGGUCUCCAGAAAUGUCCAGCAGGCAUUGAUGAAUGUCAGUGGGAGCCAUUUUUUUUCUGCAUGAAAUAGUUAACUGACACAUCUUUCCUUCAUCUGCACUUCCAUGGCAGAUGCCAUUCUGCCAGACUUGCCUCUCUGCUGCCGUCAGUCACACAGCAGCAAAAAGUAUUGGAAUGUUGGUGGGAAGGUCCAACAUAUACUGCCAUGUCACCAACAUCUGUCUCUGAUAUUGUGGGCCACCAUCAUAACAUAGGAGGCAUUACUUUCAGAGCAGCCCUUGUGCAUCACAACACAAUACCAUGAGAACAUUUUUCACUUCUCAAAGUGGAAAGUCUGGCAAAUGCUCACAUUUGCAUAUGUGUGUGUGUAAUUUCAGAUAUAACAACUGAUUUUUCAUACAGUUCUAUACAAAUUUGCAGGGUUUUUUUCAACAUAGCAACAUCUUCUGCUACGUGGAUGACCAUGAAUAAAUGUUGUAGCAGAAUUUCAAAUAACAAGCUUGUGAACCAAUGUAAUUCCAGGGAUGCUGCUUUGAAAACAGUUGAAUUUCUCCCAGUUUUCAGCAGUAUAGCUGAGAACAGAACUUCACACUUUCUUGGUUUUGCUAGGAAAUAUAAAAUGUCAAGUAGCAAUUCAAAAAAUAUCUAAUUCUGUAGGAACCUAGGCUUUCUGCAGAUAGCUCUUUUGUUUCCUGUGAAUUUUUACCAGGUUUUAGCCAGAGCUGCUGAAGACUACAGAAAAACAGAAGGGAACACGGAUCUGAGUUACUGCCCUUUUAAUAAGAGAUCAAGCUUCUUUAAAGCCACUCUAAUUUGUGAGCAGAGAUCAAACACUUUGCUUAAGAUAAUGAGUGUAGUAAAUUUGGGAAAAAUGCUUUGAUUGCUCAGCAGUGCAUGGCUUUCUUUUUCUAAAAGAAAUGAUGUCUCAGAGAUACUACGUAAGGAUCUUGAUUAACUAUUUAGCUUCUGCAUCUGAAAGUCAAGAUGAUUUACAAGUAGUUUUGAUUUUUGGGCCAGCUAAAGUGAUCAUUGUGUGUAAUUGCCAUGUUUUACAUUUGACUUUCUGAUUAACGUUUACUAAAGAGUGUGUGUAUGUGAAUAUAUAUAUUCAUUUAACUUCCAAGCACGUUUUCAAAAUCAAGCUAGGUUGUUUUGUUCCAUGUUUUUUUGGGGGGGGGUGUGUAAUUAGGGUAAUUUUUUUUUUUUUUGGAAGGAUUUUUCUUUUCUUGCCUAUUAUCACCAGAAAUAAAUGGAUUAAAGCAACCGUG